This is an RNA transcript of Helicoverpa armigera (cotton bollworm), 1898 nucleotides long. RefSeq lists it as uncharacterized. The transcript is spliced from 2 exons. Lineage: Eukaryota; Metazoa; Arthropoda; Insecta; Lepidoptera; Noctuidae. The record is from RefSeq and is a predicted model, not a curated record.
CUAAAAAUCACGAUAUUUUCUGAAUCUAUCAACAGGGGCCAACUUAAGGAUACUUAUUUAGUCGAUUCAUCGGCUUCCAAAUUCGACUAUUGUAGAGAUCUUGAGUGGACUACUCUAAAUUAAAAACUUAUUUAGUUUUGUUUGUUUGACAUUUUUCAACAGUAUUGUUAUGUUAGUUUAUUUAUCUAGUUUAUAAAUAUUUAUUUACUUUAAAAUUAUAAAAAUGGAUAUGUUAAACUUACUAAUAAAUCCAAAAUCUAUGAACAGAGUAUGUUUUUUGUGUUAUAAAGAAAGCGAAAAUACAACCGAUUUACACGAAGAUAUUGAAAUACACGAUGAAUAUUUUAGUUUGAAUUUAACUUUAUGGAAUAUUAUGAAACAGUUAUUUCCAUCUCACGAUCUAUUUCUAUCACAAGCAUGUGAUGACUGUGCAAGCCUAAUUAUUAAGUUGUUUAGCCUCAUGCAAAGGAACUAUUUAAAAAAUGAAAUGUUGAACCUCCUUGUAAAUAAUAUUAACGAAGAAGUUGACAACAAAACAGUAUGUGAACGACAACCAAAAAAGUACAAAUUAAGGGUUCAAUUACCUACUGGUGAGAGUAUAAUAAAUAAUACUAAAGAACAGCUUAAUAGUUUAAUAGCUGUAAAAUGUUCAAAAUGUGAUAUGAAAUUCAAAUCUAAAGUAUUACUAGAGAAACAUUAUAAAAUUACUCAUAGGAAUACAAGUUCUGCUAGAAUCUGUGAUAUUUGUGGCAAAGAACUAAAAAAUAAUUCAACAUUAAAAGUUCAUUUGGGCGGCCAUAAAGGAAAGCAAUGUCCCCAUUGUUUUAUAGUGUUGAAAUCUCACUCACAUUUCAAUUUGCAUUUGAAAAAUCAUGCUGCGUUAUCAAGAAGAAAACGAAAAUCUAAAUUACAUGACUGUGGUAGUUGUGACUACCGAAGUAUCAACAAAAACAGUUUAGAAGCUCAUAUUAAUAAGGUCCAUUUAAAUAUCAGGCCUUACAAAUGUACCGAGUGCGGAAAAGGCUUUUAUAAGAAGAGCAACUUAACUCAGCAUUUUGUUACUCAUGAAAAAGUGAAGGAUAAAACGUGUGAGAUUUGUGGUGACACAUUCGUCAAUGAAAAAACUUUAUUUGAACAUUUAAUGUUGCAUUCUGGUCAGAAACCUUUUAAAUGUGAGAUUUGUGGUGCUGACUUUAUCACCUCAGGUCGGAGACUUGAGCAUAUGAAGAGAAAACACAUGGAAAAGACAGAGUGUUGCGUAAUUUGUGAUAAGAAAUUCAGUUUGAAGAAAAAUCUUAAUUCACAUUUAAAAAAAGUUCAUGCGACAUUGUGUUUUGAAACUUGAUAAGGCACAACUGAAUUGGUGUAAGCAAUUAUUUUGCAGUUUCAGUAUUUGCUUCAAGUAUUAUUUUUUAAUUGUUACAUAAGUUAUUAGGUUGGCAGCUAUGUUUGUAUUAUUUCUAGUCUUAUAAGAAAAAGUAUUAUGUACGAAAAUGUAUGGCAAACUGUUUAAAAUUAAUUGCUUUAUUUAAUUCAUGCUAUCAAAUUACGACAUAAAAUAAAAGCUCACGCUAUUCAUCGCUAGAUGUCGGUAGUAAAACUUAUUAAGGCAGCAUAGUUAGUAUUACGUACGGGUCGAAAUGCUAUGUAUGUAAUAAACUUCCAUAUUCCCAUUGAAACAAACCCACGAUGAAAGGAAACUCCUUUCUUCGAGAAAAAAAAAACAAGUUUAACUGUAGCUUAGAUUUAUUUUUAUAAAAAAAUAAGGUACAAAAGGACACUUCAUAUUUUCAACAAAGAAUUGUCAAAUUUACUCCUCUAUGCCUCUAUCCUAUACAAUAAAUAUACAAAAUACGGCAGUGUAAUGAGUAUUAUUAAUUAAAAACUAUUACAAGCAA